CCUACGGGGGGCAGCAGUGAGGAAUAUUGGUCAAUGGGCGCAAGCCUGAACCAGCCAAGUCGCGUGAGGGAAGACGGCCCUACGGGUUGUAAACCUCUUUUGCCGGGGAGCAAGCCUGAGCACGUGUGCCCAGGCGGAGAGUACCCGGAGAAAAAGCAUCGGCAAACUCCGUGCCAGCAGCCGCGGUCAUACGGAGGAUGCGAGCGUUAUUCGGAUUUAUUGGGUUUAAGGGGUGCGCAGGCGGGCUGUUAAGCCGGCGGUAAAAAUUCAGGGCGCAACCCCGUCGGGCCGUCGGAACUGGCAGUCUGGAGUGGGCGAGAGGUAUGCGGAAUGCGUGGGGUAGCAGUGAAAUGCAUAGAUAUCACGCAGAACGCCGAUUGCGAAGGCAGCAUACCGGCGCCCAACUGACGCUGAGGCACGAAAGCGUGGGGAGCGAACAGGAUUAGAUACCCGGGUAGUC
This 460-nucleotide ribosomal RNA is filed under the name uncultured bacterium. RNAcentral's name for it is "partial 16S ribosomal RNA". It matches the Rfam family "Bacterial small subunit ribosomal RNA", at positions 338 to 795 of the family's 1533-position model. The record is from RNAcentral.